Anopheles stephensi (Asian malaria mosquito) is the source of this 4007-nucleotide long non-coding RNA. RefSeq lists it as uncharacterized. The transcript has 3 exons. The record is from RefSeq and is a predicted model, not a curated record. Lineage: Eukaryota; Metazoa; Arthropoda; Insecta; Diptera; Culicidae.
CCGUGGGAGGCAAACUUUGUUGGCGUUUGCGUGACGAUGGUUGUGUUGGUGCUGCUGCCAGCAAGGAUGACCAAACUGGGAUGGAAAUUUGAAGGUCGCGCACCGUACCAGCCAGGGCUACGAGCUGGUGGGAAAAAUCGAUUGAACUUGAGCUUGAAAAUUUUCCAUACACACUAGGUGUGUGUGUGUGUGUGUGUGUGUGUGUGAGAGAGAGCUUUGGGAGCACACAAAUACACACAGGCACUUGUAGUGCUAUAUGCAAUAGGGUAGUCUUAGUCUUUCGCCGAUGGGGGUUGCAAGUGUUAGCAUGUGUCAGUAACCGUUAAAACGCUUCUGACAUGUGUCAACGUACUGGUAGUGGUGCCAAGCGGGGCUAUUUCGAUUGUUAUUUCGAUAUUUUCCAUCAGUUUUGUUGUUGUUUUGAAAAUAGGAUACAAAGGACAUUGAGCAAUGUCGGACUGUAUGGUUUAUAGGGUUCAUUUAGGUGUUGAUGGCAUGGCGUGAUCCAAGCAGUGGUACGGAAUAUCAGCAAACAUACACUGCGUUUGGCAAUGGUUGGCCCAUGCGCUUCGCCUACGUUGUCCCGUUUGGAACGAUUUGGAACGGUUCCAUGUUACGAAAUGCGCUUUUUAGGGAGACCAGGAAAAGAUGCCAGAAGGUUUUCCCAACCGUAAGUCAAACAAAGAUGCCCGGUACGGGAUAAGCUUAAUGUUUCUGCUUGGUACAAAUGUUUCAUUAAAAAUCAAAAGGGCAUAAAAGCUGCGGCAACACCACAUGGCUUGUGUAAGUGUAGUAGUGCCCGAAUGGUGAAAGGAUUAGAGUUUUUGGAGGUGGACUGUGACGGAGCGAGACGGCCUCAACAAUAAAGGCCAUCUCGGAACGGAAACGGAUGUGGCAGCGUGCCAAGCAAGAAAGAUUGGCCGUGUCCGCAGGAAAGAGAUGAUGGGGCGAGAAAUCACUGGCACGACGAUCGGUCUGGAGGGUAAAGGGACAGUGAGGGAGCAAGAGGUAUAGAAAGAGAAAAAAGAGAAAGAGAGAAAAGUAUUGUUUCUCGCGAAUUGCGUCGUAGGAAAAAUUGGUCCAUCUUAUGCGAUAUAUCAGUACACUUUAUGUAGUUUUAAUUGAUAUACUUUUUUCUCUUUGAAACAGUAAAACACAACUUUAUUACCAUUUUUUUUCUUGCACACUGUAUGCCAAAUGCCAAUGUAUGUGUUUUCUGCUGUAAAGAUAUUAAAAUACUCAGAAUGUAAUUUUAAAAUUCUAUACCACACAAUUCUAUUGUUUGCUUGCCUUAGUGAUUGGGAUUAAGAUUUGGGGCAAAUGAAAAUAAACAUCCUCGCAGCUUGUGUGUUUUAUCCGAUGACCUUGCUAUCGAACAGCUAGAUGCACUGGAAUGCACUCAGUGAAGCACAAACACACACAGAAAUACAUCUGGUAGGGCCAGCUAAGAAGAAAGCUAACCUGGUACGUGAUGAAAUGCACCAUUCCGUUGUUGUUCGCUGAAUGCCGGGCUUGACGUACUUGCAUUAAAUGAUUUCGCCUGUGUGCAUAACGCAAAGGUCAGUGAUCACAUUUCGGAACACGGGUACCGCCCAAAAGAAUGUGUAAACACGGCUGGGGUAAUGUAAAUCGGCAGCCUGGUCCAGCAAAACUGUGCUCAGUAAUGUCAAUAGUUUGCAAUAUAUUGUGCAUUCCAUAGGGUAAACGAGGAUCUGCGGUGGUGUUUAGGUUAGGUUUUGAUGAAAGAGUUUAACGGCGGGUGCACAUCUAUAAUUGGCUGAGUAAUGUUUAGAGUUCUUUGUUUGUUUUCUUAUUUAAUCUUGCAACGUUGAACAAAGGAAUUUAGUCAUUUGGCGAGUACAGAUUUGCUAUAUACUUCUCCUAUUGAUCCAACACGACCAUUCGUUGGGAUGAACGGUUAAAAGUAAGGAGAAUUUUUCACUGCGAGCACUUGCUGACUCUUCUAUCGAUGACUUCUAAAGUAAAGAUAAAGAUGAAAGAAUGCUGACCGAGGAUUCGCAGGAUUACUCAGAGAAGGAAGGCUUAUCCUAAGCUGUUUGAAUCUCAAGAACAAUUCAUCGCUUGGUAUCAUCACUUUGGCAGUUCAAAAAUUUAGGAUAGACACGGAUUGAAUAGACUUUAUGUGACAAUGAUCAAUAAGAAAUAUUCAAUACAAAUGGAACGUUGUAAUAUUUAAAUUAGCCCCAAUUUUCAUUUGGCUAACUGUACACAAGGCAAGCGAGAAACACACCAGUACAACGUUAUUUGACAAGCUUACUAGCAUAUUUGUCUCUAUCACAUGUUAUCCAUAACAAAUUAUAUGAGAAGAAUUCGCAACUAAGCUGGUUAGUGUGACGAAUUUUGAUGAAUUUUUGUAAUGUUUAAUUUUCGAUAGUGUUUAUUUCUGUACCUGCAGAAAAGCUGCAUAGGGAAAGGGGGAAAAUAUGAAUAGGGAAAAAUUCAUUUUAUUUGUAUACAAAUGUCGUUUAUAAAAAACAAAUUGUGUACAUAGGACCUUAUUCUUAUAAUUGUUUACAUACUUUUCAAAGAAAUAUAAACAUUUAAUCUACUCCUCCACUAACCGUCAACCGCCUCGCAAAAUCGGCAAAACAUGCGGAACAAGCAGUGCUGGUACUGGUUUUCUUUCCUCUUUUUGGUGCAAUGUUUUCACACCGUCAAAGUGGCAUCGAUUGAGGAAACAGUUCUGGCCCUGGCCGUGAAAAACGAACGCGCUGGAUUUUCUUAAAUCUUUCCCGCACACCGCAGUUCUGCUAGAUGCGUACAGUUUUGACGACGGCAUGCGGCAUGAUAAGUAGUUCGGUACAGAAUAGGAUGGAUUUUCCAUUUCCAUUUUGAGGAGGAAAAAAACGGAACGAGGCCCGGAUGAGGUAGGGAAAGUGGGUAGCAGCUUUCAUCGCAUGAGUUGUUGGCAGUGUGUAUAUGCAUACGUAUAGUCUCUUUCUGGUUGUUGGCAAAUUUGAGCAUCAUUGCACGGUUGUGCGCUUGUGUGCUGAAAUGAAUUGAAAGUGUGUGUACCAAUAUGAACGUGUGUGUGAGUGUGGCGUGACCUUGGCCUUUAGAAUCCGGGGAAGCAGCAGCAAUUGAGCCACAGUGCUGACGACCAUCAUGGUAUUGGUGCACGUUGGAAUUCAUCCAAAUUUUGGCUCACGCUCCAAACGCUUUGUGUUUUCGACCUCGGAGGAUUGAACGAUACCGCCAUGGCAGGAUGCUGGGUAUGAACUUGAGGCAAAAUUCAACCGGAAACAUGGAAUCAGCUGUGCGAUUGAUAAUUUUACCAAUUAACUGUGUAACGUUGCGAAGUGACAAAUGUGCAAAUUCUAGUAUUUCUAGAGUACAAAGUACAUGUGAAAAUAUAUUGGAAAUAAGGCGAUUAAAUGUUCUGUUAUGUUAAAAAAAAUCGUUUGGUAAUGUUUUUCACUGUUAAUUUUUAUUUUAACAUGUAUAAUAUUUGAAAAGAGUUAAUUUAAUGCGUGCUAAGGCAUUUGAAAAUCUUAUUAAACUGCGAAUGAAAACAUUACAAAUCAAAAUUGAUUUAUGCGUUCGACAAAUGCUUUACUGCGCCUCACAAAUCUUGCAAAGCUUCGUAAGUCAGUUACUUAAACUGAAUCUCAGAAAAUUUAAAUGAGUUUUAGAUAGUAUUUUUUAAUAAAUUAACAUAAAAAUCAUUGAUCGAUUAAGAAAACCCAGUUGUAGCAUCGCAAACGUUCAUUUCAAAUUCCUGGACAUGCUAUAAUACAAAAUCAUACCCAGAUGGCGCUGUUUGAAUGUUUGACAUGUAGAUGGCGCUAGCCAAUUCUGAACUUCUACAUGUAGAUCACGCUAGGAAGUUGAAAGUAAAUUUAAAACAACUGCUAUUGGAAAAAAAAACGUAACGGCAGAUUAACUUCACAAUUCUCAUAGUUUUAUAAUUCAUUUAAAUAGGGAAAUAAAAUAAAACAUUAAAGUUGUCUGAUAAUUGGAAAUGUAACAAAAUGAACCAAAGCUUG